GACGAACGCUGGCGGCGUGCCUAAUACAUGCAAGUUGAGCGCUGAAGGUUGGUACUUGUACCAACUGGAUGAGCAGCGAACGGGUGAGUAACGCGUGGGGAAUCUGCCUUUGAGCGGGGGACAACAUUUGGAAACGAAUGCUAAUACCGCAUAAAAACUUUAAACACAAGUUUUAAGUUUGAAAGAUGCAAUUGCAUCACUCAAAGAUGAUCCCGCGUUGUAUUAGCUAGUUGGUGAGGUAAAGGCUCACCAAGGCGAUGAUACAUAGCCGACCUGAGAGGGUGGUCGGCCACAUUGGGACUGAGACACGGCCCAAACUCCUACGGGAGGCAGCAGUAGGGAAUCUUCGGCAAUGCACGAAAGUCUGACCGAGCAACGCCGCGUGAGUGAAGAAGGUUUUCGGAUCGUAAAACUCUGUUGGUAGAGAAGAACGUUGGUGAGAGUGGAAAGCUCAUCAAGUGACGGUAACUACCCAGAAAGGGACGGCUAACUACGUG
RNAcentral lists this ribosomal RNA (497 nucleotides) under uncultured bacterium. Its description in RNAcentral is "partial 16S ribosomal RNA". It matches the Rfam family "Bacterial small subunit ribosomal RNA", at positions 28 to 507 of the family's 1533-position model. The record is from RNAcentral.